RNAcentral lists this ribosomal RNA (430 nucleotides) under Pichia fermentans. Its description in RNAcentral is "eukaryotic LSU rRNA". The stretch from base 106 to 258 matches the Rfam family "5.8S ribosomal RNA". The record is from RNAcentral. Lineage: Eukaryota; Fungi; Ascomycota; Pichiomycetes; Pichiales; Pichiaceae.
ACCUGCGGAAGGAUCAUUACUGUGAUUUAUAUCUUAUACACAUGCGUGAGCGCACCAAACACCUAAAAUUGUAAUACUACCAGUCACUAAGUUUUAACAAAACAAAACUUUCAACAACGGAUCUCUUGGUUCUCGCAUCGAUGAAGAGCGCAGCGAAAUGCGAUACCUAGUGUGAAUUGCAGCCAUCGUGAAUCAUCGAGUUCUUGAACGCACAUUGCGCCCCAUGGUAUUCCAUGGGGCAUGCCUGUCUGAGCGUCGUUUCCUUCUUGCGCAAGCAGAGUUGAGAACAGGCUAUGCCUUUUUCGAAAUGGAACGUCGUGGACGAAGUGAACUAAAUUUUUAGCACGCUUUGGCCGCCGAACUUUUAACUAAGCUCGACCUCAGAUCAGGUAGGAAUACCCGCUGAACUUAAGCAUAUCAAUAAGCGGAG